GUCGAACGGGGUUAUCAUUUUUGAAGCGAUUAGCUUGCUAAGAGUGGAAAAGUUGAUAACUUAGUGGCGGACGGGUGAGUAACGCGUGGGUAACCUGCCUUACACAGGGGGAUAACACUUAGAAAUAGGUGCUAAUACCGCAUAAGCGCACAGUCCCGCAUGGGACAGAGUGAAAAACAUUAGUGGUGUAAGAUGGACCCGCGUCUGAUUAGCUUGUUGGCGGGGUAACGGCCCACCAAGGCGACGAUCAGUAGCCGGCCUGAGAGGGUGGACGGCCACAUUGGGACUGAGACACGGCCCAAACUCCUACGGGAGGCAGCAGUGGGGGAUAUUGGACAAUGGGGGAAACCCUGAUCCAGCGACGCCGCGUGAGUGAAGAAGUAUUUCGGUAUGUAAAGCUCUAUCAGCAGGGAAGAAAGAAAUGACGGUACCUGAGUAAGAAGCCCCGGCUAACUACGUGCCAGCAGCCGCGGUAAUACGUAGGGGGCAAGCGUUAUCCGGAAUUACUGGGUGUAAAGGGAGCGUAGACGGUAAUGCAAGUCUGGAGUGAAAGGCGGGGGCCCAACCCCCGGACUGCUCUGGAAACUGUGUAACUGGAGUGCAGGAGAGGCAGGCGGAAUUCCUAGUGUAGCGGUGAAAUGCGUAGAUAUUAGGAGGAACACCAGUGGCGAAGGCGGCCUGCUGGACUGUAACUGACGUUGAGGCUCGAAAGCGUGGGGAGCAAACAGGAUUAGAUACCCUGGUAGUCCACGCUGUAAACGAUCGAUACUAGGUGUG
This 777-nucleotide ribosomal RNA is filed under the name uncultured bacterium. Its description in RNAcentral is "bacterial SSU rRNA". It matches the Rfam family "Bacterial small subunit ribosomal RNA", at positions 61 to 824 of the family's 1533-position model. The record is from RNAcentral.